AGAGUUUGAUCCUGGCUCAGAACGAACGUUGGCGGCAUGGAUUAGGCAUGCAAGUCGAACGAAUGCCGUGGGGGCAACUCUGCGGCGGAAGUGGCGAAAGGGGCAGUAAGGCAUGGAUAACCUACCUCGGAGUUCGGAAUAGCCUUCCUAACGGAUGGAUAAUACCGAAUGCCAUGACAUGAAGGCAUCUUCGAGUCAUGAAAGCUCCGGCGUUCCGAGAGGGGUCCAUGUGGUAUUAGCUAGUUGGUGAGGUAACGGCUCACCAAGGCCGAGAUGCCUAGCAGGUGUGAGAGCACGACCUGCGUCACUGGCACUGAGAACUGGCCAGACUCCUACGGGAGGCUGCAGUCGAGGAUCUUCGGCAAUGGGCGAAAGCCUGACCGAGCGAUGCCGCGUGGAGGAUGAAGGCCUUCGGGUUGUAAACUCCUGUCGAGGGGGAGGAACGACGUACGCAGACUACGUCUUGACCGAUCCCUGGAGGAAGCACGGGCUAAGUUCGUGCCAGCAGCCGCGGUAAUUC
Molecule: ribosomal RNA, 520 nt
Filed under: uncultured bacterium
Lineage: Bacteria
Description: bacterial SSU rRNA
Rfam family: Bacterial small subunit ribosomal RNA
Source: RNAcentral